GGAUCAUUAUAUAGAAGUAACAAAUUUCACUGAAAUUUAAAAAUGUGCUUCUCAUAAGAUAAACUAAUUUUAUGAAAGAUGCUGUCCCUAAACUUAAUACCAAGAGUAUGUGUGUAUGUAUGUGUGUGUGUUUCAGGAACUUAGAAAUCACCUGUGUGUAUUACAAACUUGACCUUAGUUAUAUUUGCUUCACAUUAUGUACAAGUUAGUUUCAUUUCUGGUCAGGUGAAGUGUUUUUUACAUGCCCAAAAAUAAAAUACCACUAUUUCUAUUAAAAGUAACUGCUCUUCCUGGUAUCAUGAUGGAAUGGGCAGAGGGUUAAAACAUUAGGCACGAGACUUGGACCUUAAUGUCACCACUGACCCUGACUACUGUAAAAGUAGAGAUUUUGAACCCUAGACUUCAAUCCCCAGAAGUCCUUAGUAUUUCCCAGAAUUCCCUAUAAUCUUUCUUGUCUGAUCACGUGAUAGGUAUUUAACUAGCGGUAACGCCUCCCACACGCUCUUCCUUUGCAAUGAGGCAGCAAGUAUAGUGGUAAGCUAAGUGUGGGGAUUUUUAAAUGGGCUAAUCAGCCAUGGGCAUGUGGGAGGCAUUAUUGCCAGUUAAAUACCAAUCACAUGAUCUCGCCAACAUGGAGAUAGGAGAGAUUAUAGGGAAUUCUGGGAAAUACCAAGGACUUAUGGGGAUUGAAGUCUAGGGUUCAAAAUCUAUUUUUACACUAUUUGUGUGACUUUAAGGAAAUCUCUACUAUCUGGACCAUGAUUUCAUCAUCAAAGAUGUUCAAUAUUGUCGAAGCCAAAUAAAUUCUGCUGCAGUACCUUGCCUUUACUUUGUGUGUGUCUCCCUGCCUCAAAAGUGAUUCUUGUAAACAAUGUAUAGUUGGAUUCUGGUUUUUAAUCCCCUCUGCUAUUUGCUUCUGUUUUAUGGGUCAUGCCCUGCCUUAAGUUACUUCAGGCCUCACAAUUGCUUUAGGUGCUUUGGGAAUCCAUCUUCAAGAGGGAAGAGAGGAACUCAUUGCCAGAAAUUGCUUCCAAGUUUGCAUUUGUUUAUUGGAUCUCACUAUCAAGAUGACAAGGUUACAAGGUAAAAAAUGACACAUUUCACCUUCUGGUCUUUUUGUUCCAUGUGCACUUGAAAUAUAUAAUAUCCAGAUAUUAUAUAUUUGUCAGAGAAAGAAAAGGAAAAGCACCUGGUUUUUUUGUUUCAUAGCAUUUAUCACCACAGCCAAGAAUGUUAAGCUAACAAGUCACAUUUAAUGAAUGGUAAAGACUUCUUGAAUUUGAAUUAAUUCCCCCUGCAGCUUCCAAUGAGAUCAGCUUAUGAACUACAAAUCUGAAGGUAUAUCAUGAUGAUAAAAUCAAGACUUCUGAAAAUGAAUCUGUAUUCUAUAUACUGAUUUCAUUCCCCUAAUGUAUAAGAAAUCUAUUAUCUUAUUAAAUUCCUUUUUCAGUAUCUCUAUGGUGCACAUGUAUGUAAUCACAAAAUUCCUUUUUCAGUGACUAUUGUAUAUAUGUAUACAUGAACAUAUAUCUAUAUUAUAUA
This 1542-nucleotide long non-coding RNA is filed under the name Monodelphis domestica (gray short-tailed opossum). Its description in RNAcentral is "lncRNA (ENSMODG00000039695.1)". The record is from RNAcentral. Lineage: Eukaryota; Metazoa; Chordata; Mammalia; Didelphimorphia; Didelphidae.